CCUACGGGGGGCAGCAGUGGGGAAUAUUGGACAAUGGGCGAAAGCCUGAUCCAGCCAUGCCGCGUAUGUGAAGAAGGCCUUCGGGUUGUAAAGCACUUUCAGUGGGGAAGAAAGCCUUGGGGCUAAUACCCUCGAGGAAGGACAUCACCCACAGAAGAAGCACCGGCUAACUCCGUGCCAGCAGCCGCGGUAAUACGGAGGGUGCGAGCGUUAAUCGGAAUUACUGGGCGUAAAGCGCGCGUAGGCGGUCUGAUAAGCCGGUUGUGAAAGCCCCGGGCUCAACCUGGGAACGGCAUCCGGAACUGUCAGGCUAGAGUGCAGGAGAGGAAGGUAGAAUUCCCGGUGUAGCGGUGAAAUGCGUAGAGAUCGGGAGGAAUACCAGUGGCGAAGGCGGCCUUCUGGACUGACACUGACGCUGAGGUGCGAAAGCGUGGGUAGCAAACAGGAUUAGAUACCCGUGUAGUC
RNAcentral lists this ribosomal RNA (465 nucleotides) under Vreelandella stevensii. Its description in RNAcentral is "partial 16S ribosomal RNA". It matches the Rfam family "Bacterial small subunit ribosomal RNA", at positions 338 to 795 of the family's 1533-position model. The record is from RNAcentral. Lineage: Bacteria; Pseudomonadati; Pseudomonadota; Gammaproteobacteria; Oceanospirillales; Halomonadaceae.